AGCUCCAAUAGCGUAUAUUUAAGUUGCUGCAGUUAAAAAGCUCGUAGUUGGAUUUCGGGUGGGUUCUGCCGGUCCGGUUUAUCUGUGCACUGGCAUGGCCUACCUUUCUGCCGGGGACGCGCUCUGGGGGUAAAACCCCGGACGUGGAUUCGGCGAGGUUACUUUGAGUAAAUUAGAGUGUUCAAAGCAGGCUUACGCUCUGAAUACGUUAGCAUGGAAUAACAUGAUAGGACUCUGGCCUAUCU
Molecule: ribosomal RNA, 245 nt
Filed under: uncultured Chlorophyta
Lineage: Eukaryota; Viridiplantae; Chlorophyta
Description: partial small subunit ribosomal RNA
Rfam family: Eukaryotic small subunit ribosomal RNA
Source: RNAcentral